CAGCCGCCGCGGGAAUACGGAGGGCGCGAGCGUUACCCGGAUUUACUGGGCGUAAAGGGCGUGUAGGCGGCCUGGGGCGUCCCAUGUGAAAGGCCACGGCUCAACCGUGGAGGAGCGUGGGAUACGCUCAGUCUAGAGGGUGGGAGAGGGUGGUGGAAUUCCCGGAGUAGCGGUGAAAUGCGCAGAUACCGGGAGGAACGCCGAUGGCGAAGGCAGCCACCUGGUCCACUUCUGACGCUGAGGCGCGAAAGCGUGGGGAGCAAACCGGAUUAGAUACCCCUGUAGUCCCUGUCUCUUAUAU
RNAcentral lists this ribosomal RNA (301 nucleotides) under uncultured bacterium. Its description in RNAcentral is "partial 16S ribosomal RNA". It matches the Rfam family "Bacterial small subunit ribosomal RNA", at positions 509 to 809 of the family's 1533-position model. The record is from RNAcentral.